This 501-nucleotide ribosomal RNA is filed under the name uncultured bacterium. RNAcentral's name for it is "bacterial SSU rRNA". It matches the Rfam family "Bacterial small subunit ribosomal RNA", at positions 29 to 524 of the family's 1533-position model. The record is from RNAcentral.
AACGAACGCUGGCGGCGCGCCUAAUACAUGCAAGUCGAGCGAGAAGACGUAGCAAUACGUUUGUAAAGCGGCGAACGGGUGAGGAAUACAUGGGUAACCUACCCUCGAGUGGGGAAUAACUAGCCGAAAGGUUAGCUAAUACCGCGUACGCUCCUUGGACUUCGGUUCAGGGAGGAAAGCGAUACCGUGGGUAUCGCGCUCUUGGAUGGGCUCAUGUCCUAUCAGCUUGUUGGUGAGGAACGGCUCACCAAGGCUUCGACGGGUAGCUGGUCUGAGAGGACGAUCAGCCACACUGGCACUGCGACACGGGCCAGACUCCUACGGGAGCAGCAGUAAGGAAUAUUGCGCAAUGGGCGAAAGCCUGACGCAGCGACGCCGCGUGGGGGAUGAAGGUCUUCGGAUUGUAAACCCCUUUCGGGAGGGAAGAUGGAACGAGCAAUCGUUCGGACGGUACCUCCACGAAGCAGCCACGGCUAACUUCGUGCCAGCAGCCGCGGUAAC